Mycena rebaudengoi is the source of this 94-nucleotide non-coding RNA. NCBI's taxonomy places the organism in Eukaryota, Fungi, Basidiomycota, Agaricomycetes, Agaricales, Mycenaceae. The record is from the annotation of a GenBank genome assembly.
GACACUUUGGCCGAGUGGUUAAGGCGACGCCCUGCUAUAAUUUGCAUGUUAGGCGUUGGAUUUAUCCGCGUGUGUUCGAAUCGCACAGGUGUCG